RNAcentral lists this ribosomal RNA (268 nucleotides) under uncultured bacterium. RNAcentral's name for it is "partial 16S ribosomal RNA". It matches the Rfam family "Bacterial small subunit ribosomal RNA", at positions 524 to 791 of the family's 1533-position model. The record is from RNAcentral.
UACGAAGGGGGCUAGCGUUGUUCGGAUUUACUGGGCGUAAAGCGCACGUAGGCGGAUUGUUAAGUCAGGGGUGAAAUCCCGAGGCUCAACCUCGGAACUGCCUUUGAUACUGGCAAUCUUGAGGCUGGAAGAGGUUGGUAGAAUUCCCAGUGUAGAGGUGAAAUUCGUAGAUAUUGGGAAGAAUACCAGUGGCGAAGGCGGCCAACUGGUCCAGAUCUGACGCUGAGGUGCGAAAGCGUGGGGAGCAAACAGGAUUAGAAACCCCGGU